AAGUGUGCGCUGCUUUGAGGUGCUUGGUUGCUUUGCAGUCAAGUUAAACGGGAAGCAGGUGCGUUGUUUGACACAGGAAAUUUCCGGUGCCGUCGACAAAGCCUGAGCUGCCCCCGCAACGGUCGUCGAGUGUGGAUUUGCCAUUGAGCCACUGUGAGUCAUCAUGGGAAGGCGGUAAAUCAAGACUUGUGAGCCCGGAUACCGGCCUUAUUGCAAAGGUACGG
RNAcentral lists this non-coding RNA (224 nucleotides) under Gallionella capsiferriformans. RNAcentral also lists the same sequence under 1 other name. Lineage: Bacteria; Pseudomonadati; Pseudomonadota; Betaproteobacteria; Nitrosomonadales; Gallionellaceae. The record is from RNAcentral.